RNAcentral lists this microRNA precursor (60 nucleotides) under Callithrix jacchus (white-tufted-ear marmoset). RNAcentral describes it as "microRNA cja-mir-4780 precursor". Lineage: Eukaryota; Metazoa; Chordata; Mammalia; Primates; Cebidae. The record is from miRBase by way of RNAcentral.
GUGCCAGGGGGGCAGUGCCAGGGGGUCAAGGCCUGGCCCUUGAGCCUGAUCCCCUAGCAC